AUGACGCAAGGAUCCAGUCAAAGGGAAGCGCGUUCACGUCCCGUUGGUUUCGAAGUCACUCUGAAGGACUGGCUGAGACCAUUCGGUCUCCGUCCUCCGAAGCUCCUCGAGACAACCGGAGAGAUUGAAACCACCGGCCGAUUUCAGGGGGGAAGGGAGGAGGAAGGCAACCUUGCAAGGCGAGAAUUCCGAUCCGGAUCCCAUCUAAGCCAGCGUGGCCACCAAGUAGGCGCGGAAGCUCCUGGAUGGAGAGGCGACGGUACUGUGCUUUUUGCGAGGUGGGAGGUGAAACUGGCGAGGAAAACGACAGGUGCAGUGUGUCUUUCUACAUUAAAAAAAAUGCUGUGUUUCUACGUUCAAAGCCUGUUCAUUUUUCAGCUGAAAUGGGUCAGUAAAGAAUGAACCCUAUCCUGCUGAAGUUGAACGCGUUUAAAUCUCACUAAUUUAAGUGGGAGAGUUGAAACCCAAAUCUUUUUUUUACUGAAAUCAGACUCCUUAACUUUGGUUGGAUACCGUUUAGAUACAUAAACACUUCCAGCAAGUCCAUCCUAAAUACGUCUCGUCGCGGGAGACAGAUCCCGUUCAAUUGUACAUUUGAAAUCAGAAAUGCAUUAAUAGGUAAUUUAACCAUACCGGUUAAAUAAAUAUGCUGGGAUACUAUUAUACUGGGGAAGGGUGUUUGUCAUAGACCUACGCCCGCCACACCUAAAGUCCCCUCUUUGUGGGCAAACAUGGUCACGCUGCAAUCCUGAACUAAUCAAAGAGCAGCGCGAUCCUAAGAACAUUGACUUUGCUGUAGAUUCUAGGGGGUACCAUAGGACUCAACUUCCAAGUAGCUAAGGCACUGGAUGGCAGCCUACUUUGUCUAGACGCUUUCCCAAAAGAUCAAGAUGAUCUACAAGUCAUUGUAUGAAGGACCACCCAUUUUGAAAUUAGUCCAAGAUUUUUAUUAGGAUGUAGAUCCCAGCGAAGGCGCUUCGGGAUCGAGGUGUCCAGCUGCGUUCUGGAGCAGGCCCCUAACUGGGAGGAAAUGAACUCCGUUCAGUUUACAGGACACACUUCCGAGUAAACAUCAUUAACAUUGGGGAUGUCACAAUGUUUAAAUGUUGGUGUUAUUAACGCUUGAAGGCUUGUUCUAAGCCAGACACAGCGCUUGGUUUCGCAGAACCGGUAAGAGCGACAAUACUUUGCAUUUUACUUGGGGACGCAAAGUGCUCAAAGCGCUUCUUAUUCACUGUCCGGAUUGUCUUUAAAAGCCAUGCCGUCAGGAAGAUCAGAAGCCUGGUGUGAUCAGGCUAUGGCUACUGAGGUGAGAGUCACCUGCCUCACAGCUCAGUGUGUCUAAACACUUGCAGCGGAUCCUAGGCGUGUCUACUCCAAAGUAAGCCCCCCCCCCAAUUAAAUAGGACUUAUUUCCCAAAUCAAUGUGCGCAGGGCUACAGCCUUUCUGAUGGAAACUGAUAUAACCACGGCUGGGUGCGCUGAUACGGGAGAUCUUCUGCUCCAGGACGGGUCUUCUGUUUCCAGCUACGCAGCGGCUGUAUUAAUUAAUUUUAGAUUCAGGGCUAAAGAGAGCGGGUCCCUCUUUAAAUCACAAUGUGCGCCUAUUACUUUGCUUGCUUCUCGUGGUCUUGUGGGAGGGGGCUCUUCAGAGAGGAAAUGUUUUUACCGUCAUCCUUACUGCAAAGGCCAUAAACCAGCCCGGCUGCUGUCUUCCUGCUCAUUCAGCUAAACUGGGCCAGGGCAUUUGCGCCCAAGUUCUGCUCUUGUGGCACCACUUCCGUGCGUACACUUCCACUGACUUCUGUGCGAAUCUGCAGCACCCAGAGCUGUUUCAGCGCCUCGCCAUCUUAGUGGGAAGCGACCUAGAGGUGGAGGUGAGGCCCCUCUCACUGGGGGCUCCUUCUCAACCCUAGCGACCCUUUCAGCCACCUCUUGGGAUGCCCGGCAGCUGGUAUUCAGAGGCCUCCUUCCUUUAAUACUGGAGGUAGUAGAGCCAACAGCACUAAAAGCCAUUGGGCAUGGCCAUUGGUUUAGGAUGCAAUCCUAUGCACACUUAAAGAGAGGUAGGUUUAAUUAAACUCAAUGGGGCUUGCCUAGACAGACACAGGACUGCAGUUAAAAGGUAAAGGUAAAGGGACCCCUGACCAUUAGGUCCAGUCGUGACCGACUCUGGGGUUGCGGCGCUCAUCUCGCUUUAUUGGCCGAGGGAGCCGGCGUUUUGUGGCCAGCAUGACUAAGCCGCUUCUGGCGAACCAGAGCAGCACACGGAAACGUUGUUUACCUUCCCGUACCUAUUUAUCUACUUGCACUUUGACGUGCUUUUGAACUGCUAGGUUGGCAGGAACAGGGACCGAGCAACGGGAGCUCACCCCGUCGUGGGGAUUCGAACCGCUAACUUUCUGAUCGGCAAGUCCUAGGCUCUGUGGUUUAACCCACAGAGCCACCCGGUCCCUAGGACUGCAGUUAGAUGACUUUAAAAGAGGGACUAUAGGUUAGGCCUAUCAAGGAUUCUUUGGCACAAGAAGAGUGUGCUUUGACUCAUUCCAGAUGCUGUAUUGGGCCACAG
Molecule: long non-coding RNA, 2569 nt
Organism: Podarcis muralis (Common wall lizard)
Lineage: Eukaryota; Metazoa; Chordata; Lepidosauria; Squamata; Lacertidae
Source: Ensembl